Molecule: ribosomal RNA, 253 nt
Filed under: uncultured bacterium
Lineage: Bacteria
Description: partial 16S ribosomal RNA
Rfam family: Bacterial small subunit ribosomal RNA
Source: RNAcentral
UACGGGGGGGGCAAACGUUGUUCGGAAUUACUGGGCGUAAAGGGCUCGUAGGCGGCCAACUAAGUCGGAUGUGAAAUCCCCAGGCUUAACCUGGGAAUGGCAUUUGGGACUGCAAGGCUUGAGUGCGGCAGAGGAGACUGGAAUUCCCGGUGUAGCAGUGAAAUGCGUAGAUAUCGGGAGGAAUACCGAUGGCGAAGGCAGGUCUCUGGGCUGACACUGACGCUCAUGCACGAAAGCGUGGGGAGCAAACAGG